GAUGAACGCUAGUGGCAGGCCUAGCACAUGCAAGUCGAGGGGUAGAAGUUUCUUGCAACUUUGAGACCGGCGCACGGUUGCGUAACGCGUAUUCAAUCUGCCUUGUACUGAGGGAAAGCCCAGAGAACUUUGGAUUAAUACCUCCUAACAUUAUGAUGUGGCAUCACAUUAAAAUUAAAGUUCCAACGGUACAAGAUAAGCAUGCGUCCCAUUAGCUAGUUGGUAAGGUAACGGCUUACCAAGACGAUGAUGGGUAGUGGUCCUGAGAGGGAGAUCCCCCACACUGGUACUGAGACACGGACCAGACUCCUACGGGAGGCAGCAGUGAGGAAUAUUGGUCAAUGUGCGCAAGCCUGAACAAGCCAUGCCGCGUGCAGGAUGACGCAUCUAUGGUGUGUAAACUGCUUUUGUACAGGAAGAAACACUCCCUCGUGAGGGAGCUUGACGGUACUGUAAGAAUAAGGAUCGGCUAACUCCGUGCCAGCAGCCGCGGUAA
Molecule: ribosomal RNA, 496 nt
Filed under: uncultured bacterium
Lineage: Bacteria
Description: partial 16S ribosomal RNA
Rfam family: Bacterial small subunit ribosomal RNA
Source: RNAcentral